AAACCCCGUCUGUACUAAAAGUGCAAACACAAAGGGAACUGCGUGGCUUGUUUCUACCUGAACAUUGUCAAGUGAUUUCAUCCUUUGAAACACAGUUGUGAAGUGUGUCCAGCAGUCUGAGAACAAGAAGAAGAAGAAAAUCUAAUCCUUCAGGGUGUCUGUGUGCCAGCCCUGCUCUCAGCACUUCCCAUGUGGAACUCCUUUACUUCUCCUAACAACUCCAUGACAUGGGUUAGACUGUGAUUGUUCCCAUAUUGUUGGUAGGGAAACUGAGGCAUGCAGGUGUUACAGAGCUCUCUCAAGUGGCAAGCUUUCUGGGUGGUUACAGAGUGGCAGAGCUGGGGUAUCCCAUGAUGUCACCACACUGCUAUAUGGAAAAGAACAUUAAUCGAGCACCUACGUGCUUGAUUCUCUUAAUUCUGUGACUGAACUCUCAAAACACCCUGGGUUGGUUUCCUUUUUACAACUGCCCAAGUCAUGAGUUCAUAGGGCCUGGAUGGCUGUACCGGAUUGCUCUCCAGCUGGUCUCUCUGCAUCCAGAAAUUUCUACAACCUACUGGGAGCACUGCGUGUUUUGAAAUAUACAAAUAGUGGGAAACGAAAUCUUUGUUCUGGAUGCAGUUAUAAUUUGGAAAGCGAGGAAAUAAAUUAUAACAAGGGGAAAAAACAGAAUACUACUAAAGUCAUGCCGUGUGACUUCUGAAGCUAGCUCCUAAGAAGUCCUUGCAGCUUCUGCCUGCGACUCUUAGAACACUUGCUUUGAAGGAUGCCAGAUGCUGUCUUAAAAGUCUGAGCACUCUGAAACCAUCAUGCUGUGAGGAAGCCCAAGCUAACCACAUGGGCAAAAAAGAUGCCCUCUGACUGCCACCAUUUGAGACACUCUAAUUAAGAACUGCCUCAUUGAGCCCAUGAGGCCCUGUGAAUGAUAAUAAUAAAUUGUUUUUAACCAC
RNAcentral lists this long non-coding RNA (950 nucleotides) under Homo sapiens (human). RNAcentral describes it as "long intergenic non-protein coding RNA 964". Lineage: Eukaryota; Metazoa; Chordata; Mammalia; Primates; Hominidae. The record is from RNAcentral.